Arachis ipaensis is the source of this 368-nucleotide non-coding RNA. NCBI's taxonomy places the organism in Eukaryota, Viridiplantae, Streptophyta, Magnoliopsida, Fabales, Fabaceae. The record is from RefSeq and is a predicted model, not a curated record.
GUGUUCCUGUUACCAACCACAAUAAACAAAAUCUCCACUGUGCACCUGGCACCAAUUUUCAAGAUGGACAUAAUAAAAUAGGGAAACUGGGGAGCACAUGUUCUGAAUUUCAUCAUCAAGGGCAUAACAGAUUAUAAUCUAAAAAAGAAAAAGGCAAUUGACGGCUGCCUGUUUGCCCUGAUGAUAGUCUACUUCCAUCUAUCAAAAAAUAAAGACAAGAAAGGAGAAGAAAGACCUCCACAACCCUGGAUUACCAACUAGACUAGAGUGCAGUUGGUUGAAAGAAUGAGAGCAGAAAUGGAUGAACAUAUGGGAAUUGUAAAGAUGGCCGAAACAAAGGAGAAAUUAAAACAAAUGAAGAAAAAAGA